UGUGUGUGGUGUGUGUGUGGAGCUGCUCUGCCCAGGGCUGUCGAGUCGGGGAUAGGCGGAAUAGCAAUAGGAGCAUACGGUUAGCGUGCCGAUACAGACCGUCCGGAAUUGUUUGGCUCUCACUCGGCGUCUGGGUGACUUGUUUGAUAACUCGGUGUGAUUUUUUCCAGAUGCGGACUGGCUAGAUGCCCACUGAAGAGCGGCAGAGGAGGAGAGCAGAGUGCCGUAAGAAGGUGGCGGUCAGGCCUCGGCACGGCAGGCCGAAGAAUCCGACUCCGAGCGGCCGAGGAAAAGGGACGGGCGAGAGGAAGGCGUUUCCAAGGAGGGCUUCGUCGCAGCGGAGGUCGACGCCAGGUGGCACGUCGGCGACCGGCGACGCUCUGUCUCGUGAGGGAUGAAGCGGAACCUGGCGGAUGGGGGAGCGUCCCGGUUAGAUGACCUUUUCCCCAUGAGAAGGGAAUCUGGAUUCUGCCCUCUGAAAGGUCUCUAGGUUCCGCCGCACGCGCUCGGCGAGCAUCCGCGGGGUCCGCGACGCCUCGUCGCUUCGGAAUACGGCCCGUCGAGCGUUUCUCGUCUCGCGAUCGGAGCUUAAAGCGAGCCUCGCAUCGCAGACGUUUCUGCGAGGUGGCCUUUGUGGAGGCGGUCCGUGCCGGACUCACAGUCGUGCUCUAGAAACUUCCGCCUCAAUUGAAGUUUGAUACCAUCUUUCAUCCCUGUAUGCUGUGGGAUGCCGGACUCGUCCAGUCUUGGUGCCGAAUACAGGGCCAUUUUGACCCAGCAGAAGGGGCCUGGGGGAGUCCAGCUUGGGCGAGAGCAGGGAUUGAGCAACUUGCUUAUCUUGCACUGAUAAGCACCGGACCUGAACAGGGGCAGGAGAUGAGCAAUUUGUUCAUCUUAACAAGA
Grus americana (Whooping crane) is the source of this 903-nucleotide long non-coding RNA. RefSeq lists it as uncharacterized. Lineage: Eukaryota; Metazoa; Chordata; Aves; Gruiformes; Gruidae. The transcript is spliced from 3 exons. The record is from RefSeq and is a predicted model, not a curated record.